This 504-nucleotide ribosomal RNA is filed under the name uncultured bacterium. RNAcentral describes it as "partial 16S ribosomal RNA". It matches the Rfam family "Bacterial small subunit ribosomal RNA", at positions 30 to 523 of the family's 1533-position model. The record is from RNAcentral.
AUUGAACGCUGGCGGCAUGCCUUACACAUGCAAGUCGAACGGCAGCAUGGAGAGCUUGCUCUCUGAUGGCGAGUGGCGAACGGGUGAGUAAAGCAUCGGAACGUACCGUGUAGUGGGGGAUAACGUAGCGAGAGUUACGCUAAUACCGCAUACGCACUGAGGUGGAAAGCAGGGGAUCGUAAGACCUUGCGCUAUACGAGCGGCCGAUGUCAGAUUAGCUAGUUGGUAGGGUAAAGGCCUACCAAGGCGACAAUCUGUAGCGGGUCUGAGAGGAUGAUCCGCCACACUGGGACUGAGACACGGCCCAGACUCCUACGGGAGGCAGCAGUGGGGAAUUUUGGACAAUGGGGGUAACCCUGAUCCAGCCAUGCCGCGUGAGUGAAGAAGGCCUUCGGGUUGUAAAGCUCUUUCGGCCGGGAAGAAAUCGCACAGGCUAAUACCCUGUGUGGAUGACGGUACCGGCAUAAGAAGCACCGGCUAACUACGUGCCAGCCGCCGCCGUAA